UCACAAGCUAAGAACUUCCCCAGAAGAAACCUAUUGUUCCCAUCUCUUUCUCUCUCUCUCUCUCUCUCUCUCUCUCUCUCUCUCUCUCUCUUUUCAUUACCAACUAACAAAAUCCACAGAUGUACGUUUUUAAGGAUGGCGGAUAAGGGUUCUUGACUCCCAUAUGAGGACAUCACAAGUUAAGAACCUCCCCAGAAGAAACCUAUUGUUCACAUCUCUCUCUCUCUCUCUCUCCGGCACAUUUCAUUGCCGACUAACAAAAUCCCCUGAUGUACGUUUCUUAAAGAUGGCUUUUAAUUAGUCUUUCCUUCUACCUUCUUCAUUAUCCUUUGUCAUUUAGCAAAGUGUUCUGAUUAUCGGGAGCGUCCAUUCCCUAAUUAAACCACCUUUUAUUAAAACAUCAAACCACAUGAAAGGGGUUAAGUCAAUCCAGCGGUGUUUUUGUAAUGUACUUACAUCCUCACAUGAAAUCCUACUUUGAAAGUGUGAUAUGACGUCUACAACGUAAAAUUCAACCUUGUUACAGUAAUAACAAUAUCAUUAGGUGAUAUUAUUAACUAUAAUCUUACUAUUCUUAUGUAAUUUUGAAUUGUAAACUUUGGCAAAUUAAGGUAAUCUUACUUUCUUGUAAUUAGAAAUUGAGUGUUAAAGUCAUGUUGUAACACUAAUAAACAUGAAGGUAGAGAGUAAAAAAGUGGUGAUGAGAGAAUGGAUAAUUUCAUGAUGUCCUAGUAGCAACUUACGUCUAUUUGUAAUCAAACAUUUAUGAUAUAACAAUCAACGAUGGUAGUGUAAUAAGAAUAUCAUUCUAUAACCAUUAUAAUAUAGCUUAACAAUAAACUUUUACAAUUAUAAUAUAGUUUGAUUAAAAGGUACCAAUACUCUAUUUGUACCGUAGAAUUUCCCGUCUUCUAAAUGUAGACUAACCUAAGGUAUUGAUUAAAUACAUGGGUAAUGUUAGAGAGGCCAAAUUUUAAACUAAAUUGUGUAAAUCAAAUGAUGUGGUUGUUGAUUAUUGGAAUAUUAACUAAAUGUCAAUUAACGUGCUUAUUUUUUAUUGUUGACACAUUAUUUAGUUUGCAAAUUUAGUUUAAAAAUUAGUCUCCUUAGCAUUAUCCUAAAUACUAAUGAAAUCACCCUUAUCAUGCAAUCAACUUUAACGAUGAUAAUUGUGGAGUUAGAGAAAAAUUUACUAAGUUAAUGCUAUUAGUACUUUAAAAAGGUCAUUAUGCAUUCAACUAUAUAAAGAAUAAUGCUAGAAAGAUUAAAAUUUUAAAAUAAAUUAGCAAACCAAAUGAUAUGUAAUUAAGUACGUUAAUCAAUAUUUAAGUAAUAAUCCAAUCAUUAACAUUCACAUCAUUUAAUUUAUAAAAUUUGGUUUGAAAAUUUAAUUUUCCUAUCAUUAGCCGUAUAUAAAAACCACAGUUAAAGAAUAAUUUGUAAAAUAACAGUGCAUGAUGAUAUUUUCAGUGUGAUGUUAAUGCAUAAUAACCGCAUUUGGUGGCAAAUGGUUAAGAACGAAGAGAUAACAAGUUUCGUUGUCGGUGCUCCUGAAAUAGUGUGUGGCCUCUUUUUUUGAUGAUUUUUUGACACGUAAAAGUAUCAUGACAUAUGUCUCCAUAGUCUACAUCUCUAUCAUAUGCAAAAAUCUAUUUCUUACCUGCUCUAAGCUAAUAUUUUAGUGGGCCCCUAUUUUAUAACGCCCCAAGAAAAAAUGAUUUGUUUGUGUACUAUAUAUACGAAUUCUUUUUGUCCAGACAAAACCGUGUGAACUAUUUUUGUUAAAAAAAAACUACAAAUCAAUUCUUAUUUAAUAAUAUUUGGAGUAGGACAGACUGCUGAGGGCAGAAAGCGCGAUUCUUUGGUUAGAAGGAACCUGUUGAUCCUAGAAUUUACAAAGCUUAUGUGGUGGCAUGCAGACCAAAUUAUUAUGAGCUAAGUACGUUUUUUUUUUUUGUGAAGGCAAGCGUGCCAAUUAGCAACCAAACUCGAUCGGAUGAGUAGAAUAAAUGUCGUGAUGAAAUGUCGAAUGUGCUACUGACUUCUGCACUUGAGUGGCUACGACCAAAGAAGGUGUUGAUUGACAGCUUGGCAUCCAGUUCAACAUCCAGCUCAGCAAACAGGCUAAAGACAAGAAUGCCAUAUAAUAGUGAUGUGUAAGAAGGUGGUUAAGAAUAUAAGGAUAAGGAAGUUAGUUACAUUAGUUAAUAUGGAACGCGUCUUCGCCUUGGGUUUUGGAAACCUGAAGACAAGGUUGCCUUUUAUUGCAAAGUUCAAUAAAGUUUUUCUUUCAAUGUGCCAAACACAAAGUAACCAGGAUCACCUCACUUCGCUAGAAAGUUACUGGAAGGACCUCUUUGGGCGAAAAAAUUAAGAAGUCUUUGCCUGCCAAGACUUGGAUGGAUAAUCAAUCAACCCAAGAGGAGUGUUGUCUAGUUGUCCAAACUAAAAGUGCCCCUAUGCUACUUAAUUCUACGGUGCCAAUGCUGUUUACUUAUCCAAACUGAAGGUGUUGCCGGUUGUCAACAGUGUUACUUUUUUAUCCAAACUGAAAAUGUAUUGACGAGAGGAUUAUUAUAGUUAGUGUUUUCCUCAGGUGUGUGAGAAGGUUUUUGUUUA
Molecule: long non-coding RNA, 2619 nt
Filed under: Malus domestica (apple)
Lineage: Eukaryota; Viridiplantae; Streptophyta; Magnoliopsida; Rosales; Rosaceae
Description: long non-coding RNA (MDOM_LNC012059)
Source: RNAcentral